AGGGUUUGAUUAUGGCUCAGGAUGAACGCUGGCGGCGUGCCUAAUACAUGCAAGUCGAACGCGAGCACUUGUGCUCGAGUGGCGAACGGGUGAGUAAUACAUAAGUAACCUGCCCUAGACAGGGGGAUAACUAUUGGAAACGAUAGCUAAGACCGCAUAGGUACGGACACUGCAUGGUGACCGUAUUAAAAGUGCCUCAAAGCACUGGUAGAGGAUGGACUUAUGGCGCAUUAGCUGGUUGGCGGGGUAACGGCCCACCAAGGCGACGAUGCGUAGCCGACCUGAGAGGGUGACCGGCCACACUGGGACUGAGACACGGCCCAG
Molecule: ribosomal RNA, 324 nt
Filed under: uncultured bacterium
Lineage: Bacteria
Description: bacterial SSU rRNA
Rfam family: Bacterial small subunit ribosomal RNA
Source: RNAcentral